RNAcentral lists this ribosomal RNA (596 nucleotides) under uncultured Schumannella sp. RNAcentral describes it as "bacterial SSU rRNA". It matches the Rfam family "Bacterial small subunit ribosomal RNA", at positions 43 to 650 of the family's 1533-position model. Lineage: Bacteria; Bacillati; Actinomycetota; Actinomycetes; Micrococcales; Microbacteriaceae. The record is from RNAcentral.
CGUGCUUAACACAUGCAAGUCGAACGGUGAAGGAGGAGCUUGCUCUUCUGGAUCAGUGGCGAACGGGUGAGUAACACGUGAGUAACCUGCCCUUGACUCUGGGAUAAGCGUUGGAAACGACGUCUAAUACCGGAUACGAGCUUCAGCCGCAUGGCUAGGAGUUGGAAAGAAUUUUGGUCAAGGAUGGACUCGCGGCCUAUCAGGUUGUUGGUGAGGUAACGGCUCACCAAGCCUACGACGGGUAGCCGGCCUGAGAGGGUGACCGGCCACACUGGGACUGAGACACGGCCCAGACUCCUACGGGAGGCAGCAGUGGGGAAUAUUGCACAAUGGGCGAAAGCCUGAUGCAGCAACGCCGCGUGGGGGAUGACGGCCUUCGGGUUGUAAACCUCUUUCAGUAGGGAAGAAGCGAAAGUGACGGUACCUGCAGAAGAAGUACCGGCUAACUACGUGCCAGCAGCCGCGGUAAUACGUAGGGUACUAGCGUUGUCCGGAAUUAUUGGGCGUAAAGAGCUCGUAGAUGGUUUGUCGCGUCUGCUGUGGAAACGUGCCGCUUAACGGUGCGCGUGCAGUGGGUACGGGCGGACUAGAGUGCA